CACCAUCAUCCACGGCAAAUCAUUCCGAGCUGUUACAAAAAUGGCCGUUGCGUUGAGGUAUCAACUACAAAGGUUUCGGACCCUUUUUCGGGUGCGUCAAUUUAAAAGUCCCCGCUUUAAUUUAAAUGAUUAUUCUCUUUUCCCGCUUCUUGGGUUGAUAGUGCUGCUAUCUUUAAUAAUUGAUGUUUUUGCUAUGAACAGUAAGUAAGGCAGGUUGUUGUUGGUCUGGAUUGUUAUCAGUGUCUUCGUCAUCAAAACAUGCCAAUAUUCUUUCUUGUA
Bemisia tabaci is the source of this 279-nucleotide non-coding RNA. The record is from RefSeq and is a predicted model, not a curated record. NCBI's taxonomy places the organism in Eukaryota, Metazoa, Arthropoda, Insecta, Hemiptera, Aleyrodidae.